UACGAAGGGGGCUAGCGUUGCUCGGAAUUACUGGGCGUAAAGGGAGCGUAGGCGGAUAGUUUAGUCAGAGGUGAAAGCCCAGGGCUCAACCUUGGAAUUGCCUUUGAUACUGGCUAUCUUGAGUAUGGGAGAGGUUAGCGGAACUCCGAGUGUAGAGGUGAAAUUCGUAGAUAUUCGGAAGAACACCAGUGGCGAAGGCGGCUAACUGGCCCAUUACUGACGCUGAGGCUCGUAAGCGUGGGGAGCAAACAGG
Molecule: ribosomal RNA, 253 nt
Filed under: uncultured bacterium
Lineage: Bacteria
Description: partial 16S ribosomal RNA
Rfam family: Bacterial small subunit ribosomal RNA
Source: RNAcentral